This 351-nucleotide ribosomal RNA is filed under the name uncultured Flavobacterium sp. RNAcentral describes it as "bacterial SSU rRNA". It matches the Rfam family "Bacterial small subunit ribosomal RNA", at positions 1 to 359 of the family's 1533-position model. Lineage: Bacteria; Pseudomonadati; Bacteroidota; Flavobacteriia; Flavobacteriales; Flavobacteriaceae. The record is from RNAcentral.
CGCUGAGUUUGAUCCUGGCUCAGGAUGAACGCUAGCGGCAGGCUUAACACAUGCAAGUCGAGGGGUAUAGUUCUUCGGAACUAGAGACCGGCGCACGGGUGCGUAACGCGUAUGCAAUCUACCUUUCACAGAGGGAUAGCCCAGAGAAAUUUGGAUUAAUACCUCAUAGUAUUAUGAUAAGGCAUCUUAUUAUAAUUAAAGUCACAACGGUGAAAGAUGAGCAUGCGUCCCAUUAGCUAGAUGGUAAGGUAACGGCUUACCAUGGCAACGAUGGGUAGGGGUCCUGAGAGGGAGACUCCCCACACUGGUACUGAGACACGGACCAGACUCCGUACGGGAGCAGCAGUGAGG